CCCUUAGAUGUUCUGGGCCGCACGCGUGCUACACUGAGUGGAUCAGCGGGUCAGGUUGCGCGAAAGCGUUUCCUAAUCUUUAAAUCCGCUCGUGAUGGGGAUUGACGGUUGCAAUUUUCUGUCAUGAACGAGGAAUACCUUGUAAGCGCGGGUCAUCAUCCCGCGCUGAAUACGUCCCUGCCCUUUGUACACACCGCCCGUCGCUCCUACCGAUCGAGCGAUCCAAUGAAUGUUUCGGAGCGGAACUGAGAUGCUAAUGCGUCUCUUUUACGCGAAUUUGUGUGAAUUUGAUCGCUUAGAGGAAGGAGAAGUCGUAACA
Molecule: ribosomal RNA, 319 nt
Filed under: uncultured eukaryote
Lineage: Eukaryota
Description: partial 18S ribosomal RNA
Rfam family: Eukaryotic small subunit ribosomal RNA
Source: RNAcentral